CAUGCCUUACACAUGCAAGUCGAACGGCAGCGGGGGAGAAGCUUGCUUUUCCUGCCGGCGAGUGGCGAACGGGUGAGUAAUACAUCGGAACGUGCCCUGUAGUGGGGGAUAACUAGUCGAAAGAUUAGCUAAUACCGCAUACGACCUGAGGGUGGAAGCGGGGGAUCGCAAGACCUCGCGCGAUUGGAGCGGCCGAUAUCAGAUUAGGUAGUUGGUGGGGUAAAGGCCUACCAAGCCUACGAUCUGUAGCUGGUCCGAGAGGACGACCAGCCACACUGGGACUGAGACACGGCCCAGACUCCUACGGGAGGCAGCAGUGGGGAAUUUUGGACAAUGGACGCAAGUCUGAUCCAGCCAUGCCGCGUGCGGGAAGAAGGCCUUCGGGUUGUAAACCGCUUUUGUCAGGGAAGAAAAGGUUCUGGUUAAUACCUGGGACUCAUGACGGUACCUGAAGAAUAAGCACCGGCUAACUACGUGCCAGCAGCCGCCGUAA
Molecule: ribosomal RNA, 493 nt
Filed under: uncultured bacterium
Lineage: Bacteria
Description: partial 16S ribosomal RNA
Rfam family: Bacterial small subunit ribosomal RNA
Source: RNAcentral